This 325-nucleotide ribosomal RNA is filed under the name uncultured eukaryote. Its description in RNAcentral is "partial 18S ribosomal RNA". It matches the Rfam family "Eukaryotic small subunit ribosomal RNA", at positions 1470 to 1796 of the family's 1831-position model. The record is from RNAcentral.
CCCUUAGAUGUUCUGGGCCGCACGCGCGCUACACUGAUGCAUUCAACGAGCCUAUCCUUGACCGACAGGUCCGGGUAAUCUUUGAAUCUGCAUCGUGACGGGGAUAGAUAAUUGCAAUUAUUAAUCUUCAACGAGGAAUGCCUAGUAGGCGCAAGUCAUCAGCUUGCGUCGAUUACGUCCCUGCCCUUUGUACACACCGCCCGUCGCUCCUACCGAUUGGGUGUGCUGGUGAAAUGUUCGGAUCGGCCGUUUGUCGCGGUUUCCGCGUCAUGUGGCUGAGAAGUUCAUUAAACCCUCCCACCUAGAGGAAGGAGAAGUCGUAACA